This 599-nucleotide long non-coding RNA is filed under the name Lynx pardinus (Iberian lynx). The record is from RNAcentral. Lineage: Eukaryota; Metazoa; Chordata; Mammalia; Carnivora; Felidae.
GGUUGAGGAGGAAGGUCUUCCCUGAGUGCUGCUCCCCCAGGACAGCGAGGAGGCAGACAGGGGUGUCCCUGGCCAGGGGGUGCUUCAGGCAGCGGUUGAUGGCCCCCAUCCUCAGGAUGAGGCCUCCGGAGGCAUUGAUGCGCACCAGCAGCAGCGGCUCGGCCCUCACGGAGCAGGUCUCCUGGGCCGGGGGGGGGGGGGGGGAGAGGGUUCCCUGAGCACCCAGGCGGUGGGAGCCGGGCCCCAAGCGGGGAGCGUGUCCAACCCCAAACUCCGCUCCCCGCUCUGACAUGCUAGAAUGGAGACGGAGCCACCGUCAGACCCGGGGGCCUCCACGCCCCCUCCCCAUGCCGAGGCCUGGACCCUGGACCUGCAGCACAGCGGGCAGAGGCCUCUGCGGCAGGAGCUUCAUCUUCUCCCCCAGACUCCGGAGGCCCCUCUUCUGCUUGCAGAUCUUCCGGCACUCUGGACAGCAAGGCGGCUCGCAGCCCGGGACGCGGUGUGUGCUGAAGCACCGCGCGCAGAAGUCAUGGCCACAGUCCAGCGAGACGGGCUCCCGCAGCCUCUCCAGGCAGAUGGAGCAGGCGGGGAGCUCCCGC